This 490-nucleotide long non-coding RNA is filed under the name Daucus carota (carrot). RNAcentral describes it as "long non-coding RNA (DCAR_LNC005443)". The record is from RNAcentral. Lineage: Eukaryota; Viridiplantae; Streptophyta; Magnoliopsida; Apiales; Apiaceae.
CUAUCAUCAUUUUGAAUAAAAUAUUAGUCCAGAUGAUGUACAAAUUCUGCAGGAUAACUAGAAGCAUGAGGACGACUUGCAGAAAAUUAAAAAUUACCGUAAGAUUCUUUACUUUGGGCACAUAGCCGCUUUUAUCGAUUUUCAUGUUAAAAGAACUUACGGCACUUGAAAGAAUUAAUCCAUGUCAAACUUGAGAAACAACCUACAUAAUUUAAAUUAUAUAAAAUAAUUUACCGAAAAAUCAAAAUACAUUGUUAAUGCCCUUUCAAGUGCUGGGAAGCGAAGUGGAUGAGACAUUGGAUUUAAAAUGUAAAUUUGACCUUCCCAGAUUAUAGACAAAAUCCAGUGCUUACUGUUGCCAUUAAAUUAUACACCAAAAUAUUUAAUAAAGAGAAGUUGUAUGUGACAAAAUCCAGUGCUUACUGUUGCCAUGAACUUAAAAAUAAUAAUAACAAUAAAUACAUACUUGUGAUUAUGCGGUAGGAAGAAA